Molecule: unclassified non-coding RNA, 168 nt
Filed under: uncultured Helotiales
Lineage: Eukaryota; Fungi; Ascomycota; Leotiomycetes; Helotiales
Description: sequence contains ITS1
Source: RNAcentral
CAGAGUUCAUGCCCUAACGGGUAGAUCUCCCACCCUAUGUAUUUAUACCUUUGUUGCUUUGGUAGGCCGUUGGGCUUCGGCCUGGCUACCGGCUCCGGCUGGUAAGUGCCUACCAGAGGACCCAAAACUCUGAAUGUUAAUGUCGUCUGAGUAAAACAUAAUAAGUUA